RNAcentral lists this ribosomal RNA (204 nucleotides) under Halomonas sp. S2-2. RNAcentral describes it as "partial 16S ribosomal RNA". It matches the Rfam family "Bacterial small subunit ribosomal RNA", at positions 1329 to 1533 of the family's 1533-position model. Lineage: Bacteria; Pseudomonadati; Pseudomonadota; Gammaproteobacteria; Oceanospirillales; Halomonadaceae. The record is from RNAcentral.
GAAUCGCUAGUAAUCGUGGAUCAGAAUGGCACGGUGAAUACGUUCCCGGGCCUUGUACACACCGCCCGUCACACCAUGGGAGUGGACUGCACCAGAAGUGGUUAGCCUAACUUCGGAGGGCGAUCACCACGGUGUGGUUCAUGACUGGGGUGAAGUCGUAACAAGGUAGCCGUAGGGGAACCUGCGGCUGGAUCACCUCCUUAA